CUUGUACACACCGCCCGUCAAGCCAUGGAAGCUGGGGGUACCUGAAGUCGGUGACCGCAAGGAGCUGCCUAGGGUAAAACUGGUAACUAGGGCUAAGUCGUAACAAGGUAGCCGUACCGGAAGG
Molecule: ribosomal RNA, 124 nt
Filed under: Flavobacterium johnsoniae subsp. aurantiacum
Lineage: Bacteria; Pseudomonadati; Bacteroidota; Flavobacteriia; Flavobacteriales; Flavobacteriaceae
Also listed under: 1 other name
Description: partial 16S ribosomal RNA
Rfam family: Bacterial small subunit ribosomal RNA
Source: RNAcentral